AGUGAACGCUGGCGGCAGGCCUAAUACAUGCAAGUCGAACGGCAGCACAGUGGAGCUUGCUCCAUGGGUGGCGAGUGGCGGACGGGUGAGGAAUACAUGGGAAUCUGCCCAGUCGUGGGGGAUAACGUAGGGAAACUUACGCUAAUACCGCAUGCGCCCUUCGGGGGAAAGCCGGGGACCUUCGGGCCUGGCGCGAUUGGAUGAGCCCAUGUUCGAUUAGCUAGUUGGCGGGGUAAAGGCCCACCAAGGCGACGAUCGAUAGCUGGUCUGAGAGGAUGAUCAGCCACACUGAGACUGAGACACGGCCCAGACUCGUACGGGAGGCAGCAGUAGGGAAUAUUGGACAAUGGGCGCAAGCCUGAUCCAGCCAUGCCGCGUGAGUGAAGAAGGCCCUCGGGUUGUAAAGCUCUUUUGUCCGGGAAGAAAAGCAUCGGGCUAAUACCUCGGUGUUCUGACGGUACCGGAAGAAUAAGCACCGGCUAAGUUCGUG
RNAcentral lists this ribosomal RNA (490 nucleotides) under uncultured bacterium. RNAcentral describes it as "partial 16S ribosomal RNA". It matches the Rfam family "Bacterial small subunit ribosomal RNA", at positions 29 to 507 of the family's 1533-position model. The record is from RNAcentral.